This 504-nucleotide ribosomal RNA is filed under the name uncultured fungus. RNAcentral describes it as "SSU rRNA". It matches the Rfam family "Eukaryotic small subunit ribosomal RNA", at positions 248 to 755 of the family's 1831-position model. The record is from RNAcentral. Lineage: Eukaryota; Fungi.
GAUUCAUAAUAACUUCUCGAAUCGCAUGGCCUUGUGCCGGCGAUGGUUCAUUCAAAUUUCUGCCCUAUCAACUUUCGAUGGCAGGGUCUUGGCCUGCCAUGGUUACAACGGGUAGCGGAGGGUUAGGGCUCGACCCCGGAGAAGGAGCCUGAGAAACGGCUACUACAUCCAAGGAAGGCAGCAGGCGCGCAAAUUACCCAAUCCCGAUUCGGGGAGGUAGUGACAAUAAAUACUGAUACAGGGCUCUUUUGGGUCUUGUAAUUGGAAUGAGUACAAUUUAAAUCCCUUAACGAGGAACAAUUGGAGGGCAAGUCUGGUGCCAGCAGCCGCGGUAAUUCCAGCUCCAAUAGCGUAUAUUAAAGUUGUUGCAGUUAAAAAGCUCGUAGUUGAACCUUGGGCCUGGCUGGCCGGUCCGCCUCACCGCGUGCACUGGUUCGGCCGGGCCUUUCCCUCUGGGGAGCCUCAUGCCCUUCACUGGGUGUGUUGGGGAACCAGGACUUUUAC